RNAcentral lists this unclassified non-coding RNA (391 nucleotides) under uncultured Bartonella sp. RNAcentral's name for it is "partial 16S-23S ribosomal RNA intergenic spacer". The record is from RNAcentral. Lineage: Bacteria; Pseudomonadati; Pseudomonadota; Alphaproteobacteria; Hyphomicrobiales; Bartonellaceae.
UUGAUAAGCGUGAGGUCGGAGGUUCAAGUCCUCCCCAGGCCCCACCAAAUUACCUAUCCAUUUGCCUUUAUCUGUUUAUUUGCCGAUUUAUCGGUCCAUUGAAUUUAAGUGUUGGUAGCAGUUUUAUAAUGAUGAGAAAUCAUGCUUAUAAAAGAACUCCUUAUAAAAGGCUUGUUUUUAAAAUGUGACGCUUAUCCAUUUCGCUUAGGCAAGAGAAACUUCAAGCGGUUCAAAUACAAAAGGCUUUAAGUUUUGCAAAACACUUUGAAUUUUGCAAAACACUUUGAAUUUUGCAAAACACUUUGAAUUUUAAAGUGAUCCAAGUUCGUGAUCUCGAAUUUAAAAGUUUCGAAUGCUUUAUCCUUUUUUGGGGGCCGUAGCUCAGCUGGGA